Long non-coding RNA from Carassius auratus (goldfish), 326 nucleotides. RefSeq lists it as uncharacterized. The record is from RefSeq and is a predicted model, not a curated record. The transcript is spliced from 3 exons. NCBI's taxonomy places the organism in Eukaryota, Metazoa, Chordata, Actinopteri, Cypriniformes, Cyprinidae.
CCCCCUCUUACAGAAAAAAAAUAAGGGGCAUAUGUUUAUUCAUAUGUUUAUUUAUGUAACGUAAGCGUGUGACUUUUAAUUCGUGACGUAGUUUCAUGGGCGUGCGCCGCGCGCGGACCGGAUGGAGUUGCCAUGGAAACGGAGCGCAACACUGCAUAUGCCGCGAGGAAACAACCCGUUUCUCGCUGAUUACACUGUUUUCAGGAAUGGUUUAAUGUCUUCGAAAAAGUCUGUUAGCGUUUCUACCGUUUUCAGACGACGUAUCGUCAGAAGGGAGUGUCCAAGAUUUCAAUAUUUCUGAAGGGAGCUGCUGACAGAGAUGUAGG